RNAcentral lists this ribosomal RNA (253 nucleotides) under uncultured bacterium. Its description in RNAcentral is "partial 16S ribosomal RNA". It matches the Rfam family "Bacterial small subunit ribosomal RNA", at positions 524 to 776 of the family's 1533-position model. The record is from RNAcentral.
UACGGAGGGUGCGAGCGUUAAUCGGAAUAACUGGGCGUAAAGGGCACGCAGGCGGUGACUUAAGUGAGGUGUGAAAUCCCCGGGCUUAACCUGGGAAUUGCAUUUCAUACUGGGUCGCUAGAGUAUUUUAGGGAGGGGUAGAAUUCCACGUGUAGCGGUGAAAUGCGUAGAGAUGUGGAGGAAUACCGAAGGCGAAGGCAGCCCCUUGGGAAUAUACUGACGCUCAUGUGCGAAAGCGUGGGGAGCAAACAGG